UGUGUCAAAUGUGCACAUAUCUGGUGUACGAGAGAAAGCAGAAACUAUUAUUGAGAGAUCUAUAUGUGUUAAUGUGAUGGGCUGUCAUUUUUGGGAUUGAGAUUUUACUAGAGGACCCCAUAACAAGGCAAAGUAUUAUAUUCGGUGCAGCUCGCUUUUAACUUAAAUUAUUAUCCAAAUGUAUGGUCCCUGUGUUGUGUCAAAUGUGCACGGUGUAUGAGAGAAAGCAGAAAUUAUUAUUAUUGAGAGAUCUUUAUUUGUUAAUAUGAUGGGCUGUCAUGUUUGGGAUUGAGAUUUUACUAGAGGACCCGAUAUGUAAGGACCUUCUUGUGAUAUAUUAUCUUACGAGAUGAUAUUAAGGACCAAGUUAAGAAGAUCUAGUUAGCUAUUUUAGCAAAUUUGUAAUUUUAAUUAUCAUUUAAUUUAAAUUUAUUUUUAAACAAGGAUUUUUUGUUACACGAAAAGCGUUGUAACCCAAGGUAUUCACUAAUAGGUAUUGGUGAGACUUUAUUAAAUUGCAGAUCAUUUUUCUUGGUUAUGGACAAUAUGCUCUAAGCGUGAAAGCCUAGGGGUGGUUAUGCAUUUGAUUUAAUUCUGGUUUAGUAAUUAUGUUUUACCAAUUUGAAUAUAGUAAUCAAUCGAGAUUCUUGCAGAUAACAAUGGUAUUAGCCCAGAGAUGUGCCCAAUUUCUUUUAAGUCAGACUCAUCAUCUCUAGAUUUCAGAAAUACCCUGGACAUAUUCAGAUCAAACACCUAACUUCUUUUUAAUGCUUUCACCUUAUCACCG
This 787-nucleotide long non-coding RNA is filed under the name Daucus carota (carrot). RNAcentral's name for it is "long non-coding RNA (DCAR_LNC003021)". The record is from RNAcentral. Lineage: Eukaryota; Viridiplantae; Streptophyta; Magnoliopsida; Apiales; Apiaceae.